Long non-coding RNA from Zophobas morio, 299 nucleotides. RefSeq lists it as uncharacterized. The record is from RefSeq and is a predicted model, not a curated record. NCBI's taxonomy places the organism in Eukaryota, Metazoa, Arthropoda, Insecta, Coleoptera, Tenebrionidae. The transcript has 5 exons.
GAACUGUUUGCAUACGAAUAUGAAGCUAGAGGAGUGGCUUUAAGCCUAAAAGUACUCUUUCAGAAUGCGGCCGCAACUUUGAAAAAGGCUAAAGAAAGAACAAUCUCCUCAAGUGGUGCUAUGUUGUUAGAAGCUAUUCAGUAUUUAGCUUUUCCCUCUGCUAUUGAGACAAGCCUUGAAGAAUUCCAACAUUGUUGUGAUAAGCUUACUUUUGAACUAAAUAGUUUAAAAGAAUUGUUAGAGGCAGAAGAACUACUUACACUUAGUUUUGCUAAUACCGGAUUUGAAAAUAGUUUUUU